RNAcentral lists this ribosomal RNA (460 nucleotides) under uncultured bacterium. RNAcentral's name for it is "partial 16S ribosomal RNA". It matches the Rfam family "Bacterial small subunit ribosomal RNA", at positions 338 to 795 of the family's 1533-position model. The record is from RNAcentral.
CCUACGGGAGGCAGCAGUGAGGAAUAUUGGUCAAUGGACGAGAGUCUGAACCAGCCAAGUAGCGUGAAGGAUGACUGCCCUAUGGGUUGUAAACUUCUUUUAUAUGGGAAUAAAAUGUUCCACGUGUGGGAUUUUGUAUGUACCAUAUGAAUAAGGAUCGGCUAACUCCGUGCCAGCAGCCGCGGUAAUACGGAGGAUCCGAGCGUUAUCCGGAUUUAUUGGGUUUAAAGGGAGCGUAGGUGGAUUGUUAAGUCAGUUGUGAAAGUUUGCGGCUCAAACGUAACAUUGCAGUUGAAACUGGCAGUCUUGAGUACAGUAGAGGUGGGCGGAAUGCGUGGUGUAGCGGUGAAAUGCUUAGAUAUCACGAAGAACUCCGAUUGCGAAGGCAGUUCACUGGACUGCAACUGACACUGAGGCUCGAAAGUGUGGGUAUCAAACAGGAUUAGAUACCCGGGUAGUC